CCUACGGGUGGCUGCAGUGGGGAAUAUUGCACAAUGGGCGCAAGCCUGAUGCAGCCAUGCCGCGUGUAUGAAGAAGGCCUUCGGGUUGUAAAGUACUUUCAGCGGGGAGGAAGGGAGUAAAGUUAAUACCUUUGCUCAUUGACGUUACCCGCAGAAGAAGCACCGGCUAACUCCGUGCCAGCAGCCGCGGUAAUACGGAGGGUGCAAGCGUUAAUCGGAAUUACUGGGCGUAAAGCGCACGCAGGCGGUUUGUUAAGUCAGAUGUGAAAUCCCCGGGCUCAACCUGGGAACUGCAUCUGAUACUGGCAAGCUUGAGUCUCGUAGAGGGGGGUAGAAUUCCAGGUGUAGCGGUGAAAUGCGUAGAGAUCACGCAGAACCCCGAUUGCGAAGGCAGCAUGCCGGCUUCCGACUGACGCUGAAGCACGAAAGCGUGGGGAUCGAACAGGAUUAGAUACCCUGGUAGUC
This 465-nucleotide ribosomal RNA is filed under the name uncultured bacterium. RNAcentral's name for it is "partial 16S ribosomal RNA". It matches the Rfam family "Bacterial small subunit ribosomal RNA", at positions 338 to 795 of the family's 1533-position model. The record is from RNAcentral.